UAUUCUGCCCAUGCGGGAAGGAUGAGAAGCUUCGACUAAGGUUCGAUUCGAGCGUAGCGAGAAAGCGUUGCCGCAGGCAACGACCCGAAGGGCGAAGCGCGCAGCGCUGAGUAAUCCUUCCCCCACCACCA
RNAcentral lists this small RNA (131 nucleotides) under Citrobacter portucalensis. RNAcentral describes it as "RtT sRNA". It matches the Rfam family "RtT RNA". From Rfam's summary of the family: This family represents a bacterial cis-regulatory element known as RtT RNA. RNAcentral also lists the same sequence under 1 other name. Lineage: Bacteria; Pseudomonadati; Pseudomonadota; Gammaproteobacteria; Enterobacterales; Enterobacteriaceae. The record is from RNAcentral.